This 656-nucleotide ribosomal RNA is filed under the name uncultured bacterium. Its description in RNAcentral is "bacterial SSU rRNA". It matches the Rfam family "Bacterial small subunit ribosomal RNA", at positions 106 to 777 of the family's 1533-position model. The record is from RNAcentral.
GCGAGUAACGCGUGAGUAACCUGCCCAUACCCUGGGAAUAAUCCAUGGAAACGUGGACUAAUACCGCAUAUUGUAGUUAAGUUGCAUGACUUGAUUAUGAAAGAUUUAUCGCUUAUGGAUGGACUCGCGUCAGAUUAGAUAGUUGGUGAGGUAACGGCUCACCAAGUCAACGAUCUGUAGCCGAACUGAGAGGUUGAUCGGCCGCAUUGGGACUGAGACACGGCCCAGACUCCUACGGGAGGCAGCAGUGGGGAAUAUUGCGCAAUGGGGGCAACCCUGACGCAGCAACGCCGCGUGCAGGAAGAAGGUCUUCGGAUUGUAAACUGUUGUCGCAAGGGAAGAAGACAGUGACGGUACCUUGUGAGAAAGUCACGGCUAACUACGUGCCAGCAGCCGCGGUAAUACGUAGGUGACAAGCGUCGUCCGGAUUUACUGGGUGUAAAGGGCGCGUAGGCGGACUGUCAAGUCAGUCGUGAAAUACCGGGGCUUAACCCCGGGGCUGCGAUUGAAACUGACAGCCUUGAGUAUCGGAGAGGAAAGCGGAAUUCCUAGUGUAGCGGUGAAAUGCGUAGAUAUUAGGAGGAACACCAGUGGCGAAGGCGGCUUUCUGGACGACAACUGACGCUGAGGCGCGAAAGUGUGGGGAGCAAACAGGA